CAAUGCAGAAGACAGGGGUAUAAAAUAACAGGGAAAGAAAACCACUUUUAAAAGUUAGAAGUAGGACGUAUAAGUCCCUUCAACCAGUUAUUCUCCAUCUCCAGUUCACGAACACGAGUUUCUAAAAUGGCGACUUUCUCAGUCAACUCUUUAGCAGUGCGUUCCAACUGUUGUUCUUUAAGCUUCUUCUUGAUGCGAAAACGAGCGCUAGCAGCGGUAUUUCGACGACGUUUAUCUUCCUCAGCAGCAGUACGGAUGGCAGAAGUAGCUUUGGUGCGUUUACUGUUAGCAUUGGGAGACUGAGCACCCUUAUAAGAAGAAAGACUAGGGGAAGAUACAGAUGCUAAAUCAGGACUGGCAAAAGUGGAAAGGGGAUUGGUAAAUGCGUUUUGAUCAGCAAAUGAAGAAACGGGAGCUUGUAAAGGGGUAUUGUUAAUAGAGCUGCUAGCUUCAGAAGUCGGGAUAGCAGUCUGUCCAACCAAAACUUGAUGUUGUCUUGCAGAUUGAUCAGGUAGUAACUUGGAGGAAGCUGAACCUUGGAGAAUUGAGGAAGAAGAAACAUUAUCCUUGGAGGCUGAAGCAACAGAAGACUUUUGCUCAAAGAGCUCUCGUUGAGACGAAGUUUUUUCUUGAGUUUCCUUUGAAUGAUCAGGUAGGGUUAGGAGUUUCUGCAAGUCGAGAUAAGCAAGAUCAAUUGAAGCAGGAUUAGCAGAAGAAAAAUUUCCAGUUGCAUUCAAAGGGGCAGAAAAGGUAUUGCUAACUUCUUCCUCUUUAACUUGCUGCAAAGUCGAAAUUUUUUCGGGAUUCUGUUGCUGCACGUUCUUUUCCUGCUUAUUGGAAUUGGAAGAACCUGAAGGUUGAGAAACAAAUCCAUAAUAGCCUUCUGAAAGCAUACUAGAAGGCUCUAAAUCUAAAAAGUAUGGAUUUGUGAAUACAUUUAAUUGCUCUGCGAGAUCAUCCUUUGAAAAAUCGUCAGAGACAGGAACAUCAUCGAACUUAAGAUUCAAGUGAUUGAUAGCGCUAUUAGGAGUAAAAUCCAUUUGUCAAAAGCUUUAUCUUGAGACUCUUGGUCUCUUAAAAUUAACUGAAAAUCAAUUGUUAGCAUGGAAUUUCGCUAAAAAACUGAACUCUCCAACAAUAAGCUUACCUAAGACUUAACGGCAAAAUUAUCGUUACUAAUCAAAUUAUAUCUCACAAAGGUAAAAAAAACACACUCAACCGUUCGCAAUAAACGAGCUAAACCACCAAAUUUAGUGACUCGAUGAAUGGCGACGCUACGUUGGUAAUCGUAGAAAAUUUGAUGACUGAGCCAGCACGUCUGCGAUCGGGAUCAUGCAGCGUUGAGAUAAUAAU
Molecule: non-coding RNA, 1353 nt
Organism: Schizosaccharomyces pombe (fission yeast)
Lineage: Eukaryota; Fungi; Ascomycota; Schizosaccharomycetes; Schizosaccharomycetales; Schizosaccharomycetaceae
Source: the annotation of a GenBank genome assembly